This 465-nucleotide ribosomal RNA is filed under the name uncultured bacterium. RNAcentral's name for it is "partial 16S ribosomal RNA". It matches the Rfam family "Bacterial small subunit ribosomal RNA", at positions 28 to 506 of the family's 1533-position model. The record is from RNAcentral.
GACGAACGCUGGCGGCGUGCUUAACACAUGCAAGUCGAACGGAAAGGCCCUGCUUUUGUGGGGUGCUCGAGUGGCGAACGGGUGAGUAACACGUGAGUAACCUGCCCUUGACUUUGGGAUAACUUCAGGAAACUGGCUAAUACCGGAUAGGAGCUCCUGCUGCAUGGUGGGGGUUGGAAAGUUUCGGCGGUUGGGGAUGGACUCGCGGCUUAUCAGCUUGUUGGUGGGGUAGUGGCUUACCAAGGCUUUGACGGGUAGCCGGCCUGAGAGGGUGACCGGCCACAUUGGGACUGAGAUACGGCCCAGACUCCUACGGGAGGCAAGAGUGGGGAAUAUUGCACAAUGGGCGGAAGCCUGAUGCAGCAACGCCGCGUGCGGGAUGACGGCCUUCGGGUUGUAAACCGCUUUCGCCUGUGACGAAGCGUGAGUGACGGUAAUGGGUAAAGAAGCACCGGCUAACUACGU